ACGGAAGGCAGCAGUGGGGAAUAUUGCACAAUGGGCGAAAGCCUGAUGCAGCGACGCCGCGUGAGUGAAGAAGUAUCUCGGUAUGUAAAGCUCUAUCAGCAGGGAAGAAAAUGACGGUACCUGACUAAGAAGCCCCGGCUAACUACGUGCCAGCAGCCGCGGUAAUACGUAGGGGGCAAGCGUUAUCCGGAUUUACUGGGUGUAAAGGGAGCGUAGACGGUUUGGCAAGUCUGAAGUGAAAUGCGGGGGCUCAACUCCUGAACUGCUUUGGAAACUGUCGAACUAGAGUGCAGGAGAGGUAAGUGGAAUUCCUAGUGUAGCGGUGAAAUGCGUAGAUAUUAGGAGGAACACCAGUGGCGAAGGCGGCUUACUGGACUGUAACCGACGUUGAGGCUCGAAAGCGUGGGGAGCAAACAGGAUUAGAUACCCUGGUA
This 434-nucleotide ribosomal RNA is filed under the name uncultured Lachnospiraceae bacterium. RNAcentral's name for it is "partial 16S ribosomal RNA". It matches the Rfam family "Bacterial small subunit ribosomal RNA", at positions 341 to 792 of the family's 1533-position model. Lineage: Bacteria; Bacillati; Bacillota; Clostridia; Lachnospirales; Lachnospiraceae. The record is from RNAcentral.